UAACUCUGGGCUUUCUUCAUUAACGCUUAAAUCUUUCGCCUUUUACUAAAGAUUUCCGUGGAGAAGGCCGUUUAAUGAGUGUAUAAUAAUUUUUCCUCUGGCUCGCUAACGCGAGCCC
Hydra vulgaris (swiftwater hydra) is the source of this 118-nucleotide small nuclear RNA. RefSeq annotates it as U5 spliceosomal RNA. The record is from RefSeq and is a predicted model, not a curated record. Lineage: Eukaryota; Metazoa; Cnidaria; Hydrozoa; Anthoathecata; Hydridae.